GACGAACGCUGGCGGCGUGCUUAACACAUGCAAGUCGAACGGUAAGGCCCUGCUUUUGUGGGGUGCUCGAGUGGCGAACGGGUGAGUAACACGUGAGUAACCUGCCCUUGCCUUUGGGAUAACUUCAGGAAACUGGGGCUAAUACCGGAUAGGAGCUCCUGCUGCAUGGUGGGGGUUGGAAAGUUUCGGCGGUUGGGGAUGGACUCGCGGCUUUUCAGCUUGUUGGUGGGGUAGUGGCUUACCAAGGCUUUGACGGGUAGCCGGCCUGAGAGGGUGACCGGCCACAUUGGGACUGAGAUACGGCCCAGACGCCUACGGGAGGCAGCAGUGGGGAAUAUUGCACAAUGGGCGGAAGCCUGAUGCAGCAACGCCGCGUGCGGGAUGACGGCCUUCGGGUUGUAAACCGCGUUCGCCUGUGACGAAGCGUGAGUGACGGUAAUGGGUAAAGAAGCACCGGCUAACUACGUG
This 468-nucleotide ribosomal RNA is filed under the name uncultured bacterium. Its description in RNAcentral is "partial 16S ribosomal RNA". It matches the Rfam family "Bacterial small subunit ribosomal RNA", at positions 28 to 507 of the family's 1533-position model. The record is from RNAcentral.